This 60-nucleotide transfer RNA is filed under the name Alectorobius guaporensis. Its description in RNAcentral is "tRNA-Thr". Lineage: Eukaryota; Metazoa; Arthropoda; Arachnida; Ixodida; Argasidae. The record is from RNAcentral.
ACUAUAAUAGUUUAAAAAAAACAAUGGUUUUGUAAACCUUUAUUGAUUAUUCUUAUAGUA